UCCCCGCGCGCCUCCCCGCGCCUUACUCGAUGAAGAACACCCGGCCGUCCCUGCAGACGCCAUAGGACCAGUGCUCAGGCACACUGUGAGUGAAAGAGAAUGUAAGCUCCAAAGGACAUGGAAAAUAAAGGGUCCUGGUCUCACAGCAGACGUGGGGUAUGUGAGCUUGUUGCAGAGCUGCUGCUCACGGAUGGGAACCUCCUGGCACUGAAGCCUCCAAAAUCAUUCAGGCUGCACUUUCUGCACGACUGUGUGCUAGCCGAGAGGUGCGUGGGAAUUGGUGGCCUCUGCUGCAGGUGACGGGAAUCUCAGGUACUUAAAGCCAUGGCCUAGAGGAGGGAAGUGCCUAAGUCCAGAAACUGCAGUUGUCUAGGGCCAGCACUGAGGAUUUAGAGUCCCUAGCGCUGCUGUUGCAGGUUCAAGCAUGCUCAGCCUUGGAAUUGUCACCCCUCCCUUGACUAGUAGCUGCAGCUGUCUAAGGCUGGCCUCUGGCAAUUGGCCCCAUGGCUAUAGCCAGAGAAGCUACAAGUG
Gopherus evgoodei (Goodes thornscrub tortoise) is the source of this 531-nucleotide long non-coding RNA. RefSeq lists it as uncharacterized. NCBI's taxonomy places the organism in Eukaryota, Metazoa, Chordata, Testudines, Testudinidae. The transcript is spliced from 3 exons. The record is from RefSeq and is a predicted model, not a curated record.